ACCGAAUUUCGUUGGUUGGUUAGUUGAAGAGGUGUUCGAAAUAAUGCCGAUGGCAGCGUCCGCAUUAAGGCAUUACACUUACAUUCAACAACUCGCUGGAUUAUAACAAAUUUCCUACGUUUUGUUCACCCUAGAUAACUUUAAUUCAAAAUGAGCCAUUUUCUUUUGCGGAAACAUUGUAUUUUGUCAAAGUUUUAAAAUUUGUAUUAUUGUGAUUUCAAUUCGUUAAAUUAUCGCAUCUGAAAGUAAGCUGACAAAAACAAAGGUGAAAAAAUCUCUUUCCGAUAUGGCAUGUCGAGCUUGACGAAGCAGAUGAGCAAAAUUGUGUACCUAGCACAAUUUAUAUUGAGGCAAUAUAUCUUUCGAAUAUGAAGAUGAAUUUGGGGGAAUACCAGACAAUGUUUGCCCAGCUCAGCAUAAAAGCGGAUGUGAAGUAAUAAUGGUUAGUGGACAACAUAUAUAAAAUUUUGAUGAAGACGAAAUUGAAGGCAUGUUGGAAAAUGAUAUUGCUUUAUACAUCACAAAAAUUAUCUUGGAUUCUUUAGCUUCAAAUAUCAAAAGUUUGCCCGUUAUGGUAGAAAAUGCAUGUAAAGUAUGGAUUUUAAUGAUCAACCAACAGCAUUCAAAUAUACAUCGUCAGACAGAAAGCGGUUACGUAGAGGAACACCAAAACCUACAAACGUUUCACGGCCACAAAGCAAUAAGCAAACAACAUUUCAAUGGAUAAAAUGCAUCAUCUCUUACUUCCAUUUUCCCAGAAGCAAAUUACGAGGAUUAUCGUUAUUUACUACCGCACCAGCAGUUUGAAAAGUAUUUCGAUGAUUUCCGAACAAAGUGUAAUAUAUUCGCUCAGGCACAAUAGACCUAACCCAAGUCUUAGUCUUACGGAAUAUAAUUACCACGCUAAUUUUAGAAAUUUAUGGAGUCGGGAUGAGGAUAUUCGAAACCACUUAGUAAGUGACACUAUAAGUCGAAAUCAUCAAUCAUUUCGAAGACAACUCUAAAGCUUCUUCAAAAAACGACGGCGCCAAUCGUGAUAAAAUGUGGAAUUUGCGACCAUUGACUGAUCAUUUAAAAGCAAAAAUUACUGAAUAUUUUCAUGCCGAACAACAUCUAUCCAUCGACGAAAGAACGAUUUCCUAUUUUGGCGGGUAAGAAUCCUCGUGCGAACGGAGAUUAAGAAGCAAGGUUUGGAAAAUGUGCUGCUAUGAUCGAUGAUAUUUAUGACUCAUUGAAAGUGUCGCCGUUUGCUUUUUAUUUCGACAACCUUUUCACUAGUUAUCCUUUGUUAGCUCUUUUGAAAACAUGUUAAUAUACUGCCACGGGAGCAAUCUGUGAAAGUCGCAUUCCUGCAAGCUGUCCUCUGAUGCAUAGAGGUUACUCGGAAUCAAUUGUUAUGAAAAGUACUGGUAUUCGUUUGGUGAAGUGGAAUGUUAAUAAUCUACAAUUUAAGGUGAAAAUCCUAAGUCAUUGGCACAAGAAAGUAAAUUCAGAAUAAACGUACACCGCUUUUGUGCGAUCACAG
Non-coding RNA from Bactrocera oleae (olive fruit fly), 1525 nucleotides. Lineage: Eukaryota; Metazoa; Arthropoda; Insecta; Diptera; Tephritidae. The record is from RefSeq and is a predicted model, not a curated record.